Molecule: long non-coding RNA, 1112 nt
Filed under: Capra hircus (goat)
Lineage: Eukaryota; Metazoa; Chordata; Mammalia; Artiodactyla; Bovidae
Description: lncRNA (ENSCHIG00010005496.1)
Source: RNAcentral
CUACUUUUGAUUCCAAAGUGAAACGAGCCGAGGUUUGCCUGCCGCACCCAGAACUUUGCCCAAACCCUCUUCUGCACUUUCCCCAGGGCUGCCCCCGGCGAGCCCAGCCCCCGGCUGAGCACUCGGACACUGAUCCCCGGUGCAGAGCUGGGGGAGCACUCAAGGGCUACCAGGUGGUUGGGUGUGGAGUUUUGGCAGCAAGGAGUAAUUAACAUGGAGACAAAAGGCUGCCAUGAAGAUGGAGAUCUAGGCAAACAUAGUGUUCUAGCACCUCUAAUGAUGGAAACAGACAUUUCAGAGUGAAAAAUGAUAACAUGAUUUUUAUGUGACUCAUAUGCAAAAUGAAAUACUUUCAUCUAUGAGGUCGGCUGAUGGGAAAUAAAAUCAGAUAUUUCACUUCUAACUCCGUCAAGCAAAAGAAAAAUCGGUUGUGAUUCCAAGAAGAGAUGAACUCUUGGUAAGGAAAUAUUUGUUUUACAAUUUUCAGAAAGAAUUAUCAAAUAACAUACUGUAAACAAGUCGAAUGCCUAAGCAUAUUCUUUGUUUGUUUUAAAUGAAACCAUAAAUGGUACAUGAGGGAACACAGUAACAUUUGAGGAAGAGGCAAUUGCAUGAAAAUUUAAAUUUCUUCCUGUGUUCAUAAAAAAUAAAAUUCAGGUGUCAUGGAAAAACACCUCUCAUCUUUUGAGCUUUACAUUAGUAAGCUGUCAACUCCUUGAAGAAAAGAAAGAUAGUUUAGCUUUGCUAUCAUGUGUUUUUUCGAACUUACUUGAUCAUGUUGGUUUUAAAUUCAUAUAUAGAUGGAGCCUUGGAUCCUUUGUUGUUUAUUUUAAUUUCUAGAUUUAAAUUGUGUAAUCUAAAAGUAUGUGACAACUUAUAAUGGUCUUUUUAAAGUAAAUUUCAAUUUUCCUGGUACAAGCAUAUGUUUUGACAAGAUGGCAUUGAAUCUGUAUAAGUUUAAUUGCCACAAUUGUUUGGUCAAAUAUUUGAUUUGGGGAUUCGUCAGUGAGAUAAAGAAGUCAGCCACAAGAACUUUAUAUGAAAACUGAUUUCGUAGAAAGAUGCUUCUUCCAUUUGCUUCUUCUAGUCAACGGAAGGGUGAAAUCUUGUCU